This 164-nucleotide ribosomal RNA is filed under the name Senecio hispidissimus. Its description in RNAcentral is "5.8S ribosomal RNA". It matches the Rfam family "5.8S ribosomal RNA". From Rfam's summary of the family: 5.8S ribosomal RNA (5.8S rRNA) is a component of the large subunit of the eukaryotic ribosome. It is transcribed by RNA polymerase I as part of the 45S precursor that also contains 18S and 28S rRNA. Lineage: Eukaryota; Viridiplantae; Streptophyta; Magnoliopsida; Asterales; Asteraceae. The record is from RNAcentral.
UAAACGACUCUCGGCAACGGAUAUCUCGGCUCACGCAUCGAUGAAGAACGUAGCAAAAUGCGAUACUUGGUGUGAACUGCAGGAUCCCGUGAACCAUCGAGUUUUUGAACGCAAGUUGCGCCCGAAGCCUUUUGGCUGAGGGCACGUCUGCCUGGGCGUCACAC